RNAcentral lists this ribosomal RNA (497 nucleotides) under uncultured bacterium. RNAcentral's name for it is "partial 16S ribosomal RNA". It matches the Rfam family "Bacterial small subunit ribosomal RNA", at positions 26 to 507 of the family's 1533-position model. The record is from RNAcentral.
GGGGGGGGGGGGGGGGGGGGGGGGGAGGGGGGAGGCGGGCGGAGGGAGGAGGGGCUGGCUCGGCGGGCGGUAGCGGCGGGCGGGUGAGUAACAGGUGGGUAACCGACCGAUAAGACUGGGGUCGCUUCGGGGAACCGGAGCUAAUACCGGAUAAUAUAUUGCACCGCCUGGUUCAAUAGGGAACGACGGCUUUGCUGUCACUUAGAGAUGGGUCCGCGCCGCUUUAGCUAGUUGGUAAGGUAACGGCUUACCAAGGCAACGAUGCGUAGCCGACCUGAGAGGGUGAUCGGCCACACUUGAACUGAGAAACGGUCCAGACUCCUACGGGAGGCAGCAGUAGGGAAUCUUCCGCAAUGGGCGAAAGCCUGACGGAGCAGCGCCGCGUGAGUGAUGAAGGUCUUCGGAUCGUAAAACUCUGUUAUUAGGGAAGAACAAAUGUGUAAGUAACUAUGCACGUCUUGACGGUACCUAAUCAGAAAGCCACGGCUAACUACGUG